Molecule: transfer RNA, 58 nt
Filed under: Lovenula raynerae
Lineage: Eukaryota; Metazoa; Arthropoda; Copepoda; Calanoida; Diaptomidae
Description: tRNA-Ser
Source: RNAcentral
AAGACUAUAAAAGAUUUUGACUUCUAAUCAAUAAUCCAAGCUUUAUGUUUUAGUCUUA